Molecule: long non-coding RNA, 273 nt
Filed under: Mytilus galloprovincialis (Mediterranean mussel)
Lineage: Eukaryota; Metazoa; Mollusca; Bivalvia; Mytilida; Mytilidae
Source: RNAcentral
UAAAAAUGAUAAUAACAAGAAGUAAUUGUAACAGGAUGCUGUUACGAAGUCUCCCAAACAAAGCUCCCAUAACUCGCCAUUCAUAUGGUCCCAUGUUCAUUUGAUUUGAUUUUUUGUCCCAUACAAGAAUAUGUAUGGCUUACGAGUAGGGAUCUCCACCAUUUACAAGUAUUCAAACAGGAGGGGGUGGUGGUGACCCCCAGGAAAUUUACCUACAUUCCAUUUGAUUUGUUUUAUUGUCCCCUACAAGAAUGUAUAUGGUUUAAGGUUGGG